UUAAAGUUGUUGCAGUUAAAAAGCUCGUAGUUGAACCUUGGGCCUGGCUGGCCGGUCCGCCUCACCGCGUGUACUGGUCCGGCCGGGCCUUUCCUUCUGGGGAACCCCAUGCCCUUCACUGGGCGUGUUGGGGAACCAGGACUUUUACUUUGAAAAAAUUAGAGUGUUCAAAGCAGGCCUUUGCUCGAAUACAUUAGCAUGGAAUAAUA
This 209-nucleotide ribosomal RNA is filed under the name uncultured eukaryote. RNAcentral's name for it is "partial 18S ribosomal RNA". It matches the Rfam family "Eukaryotic small subunit ribosomal RNA", at positions 604 to 819 of the family's 1831-position model. The record is from RNAcentral.